RNAcentral lists this RNase P RNA (385 nucleotides) under Pontibacillus halophilus JSM 076056 = DSM 19796. RNAcentral describes it as "Bacterial RNase P class B". It matches the Rfam family "Bacterial RNase P class B". From Rfam's summary of the family: Ribonuclease P (RNase P) is a ubiquitous endoribonuclease, found in archaea, bacteria and eukarya as well as chloroplasts and mitochondria. Its best characterised activity is the generation of mature 5'-ends of tRNAs by cleaving the 5'-leader elements of precursor-tRNAs. Cellular RNase Ps are ribonucleoproteins. The record is from Rfam by way of RNAcentral. Lineage: Bacteria; Bacillati; Bacillota; Bacilli; Caryophanales; Bacillaceae.
AUGCUUGGGUAAUCGCUUUGUGCGUUUCGCACAGAGAGGAAAGUCCAUGCUCGCACAGACUGAGACGUCUGUAGUGUUCGUGCUUGACGAAACCAUAAGUCAGGGGAGCAUGUUACAUGCUUACGGCAAGGAAAAUGCCUAAGUCCUCUUUAGGAUAAGGCAUGACUACUUUGAAAGUGCCACAGUGACGAAGUUCAAUCGGAAACGAUUGAAGUGGAACGAGGUAAACCCCACGAGCGAGCAACCCAAAAUUAGGUAGGGGCACUUCCCUGAGGGAACUGAACUGAAGGGGAAGACAAGCAAUGCUUGUAGAUAGAUGAUUACCACCGGAGUACGAGGUUGACCGCCGUUUGCAGUACAAAGGUACAGAACAUGGCUUACAAAG